Molecule: long non-coding RNA, 220 nt
Filed under: Capsicum annuum
Lineage: Eukaryota; Viridiplantae; Streptophyta; Magnoliopsida; Solanales; Solanaceae
Description: long non-coding RNA (CANN_LNC017577)
Source: RNAcentral
UAGUUCAUAUUUGUAUUUGUAUUUUAUAGUUCACACUUUUAUUUGUAUUUUAUAGUUCUUGCCAUCAUUUAUAUUUUAUAAAUUUGCAUGUAAUUUUAAAUAACUAUUUCAUAUUUGUAUUUUAUAGUUGCCUGCAUAUUAUAUUUGUAUUUUAUGAUUUUAUUUUUUUUGUAUUUGUAUUCUAUUUUCGUAGAUGCACUUGUAUUUGUAAAAGAACUAU